UCGAGAAUAUUCGACAAUGGGCGAAAGCCUGAUCGAGCGACGCCGCGUGCAGGAUGAAGGCCCUCGGGUUGUAAACUGCGGUAGUAGGGGAGGAACGCAAGUGACUGUACCCUAGGGAAAGUGGUUGGUAACUACGUGCCAGCACCAGCGGUAAUACGUAGACCACAAGCGUUAUCCGGAUUUAUUGGGCGUAAAGAGCAUGUAGGAGGUCCGGUGCGUCUCUGGUUAAAGCCCACCGCCUAACGGUGGAAGUGCCAGAGAUACGAUCGGACUGGAGGAUGUGAGAGGUGCAUGGAACUCACGGUGUAGGGGUGAAAUCCGUUGAUAUCGUGGGGAACACCAAAGGCGAAGGCAGCGCACUGGCCAAAAUCUGACGCUCACACACGAAAGCUAGGGUAGCGAAGAGGAUUAGAUACCCAAGUAGUCCCUGAGCGGGCUGGCAAGGCGCAU
RNAcentral lists this ribosomal RNA (450 nucleotides) under uncultured bacterium. RNAcentral's name for it is "bacterial SSU rRNA". It matches the Rfam family "Bacterial small subunit ribosomal RNA", at positions 355 to 825 of the family's 1533-position model. The record is from RNAcentral.